CAUGCAGGCCACUGGAUAGGAGGAGUGAGUGGGAACGUGCAGGCCAUCUGAUAGGAGGAGUGAGUGGGAACGUGCAGGCCAUCUGAUAGGAGGAGUGAGUGGGAACGUGCAGGCCAUCUGAUAGGAGGAGUGAGUGGGAACGUGCAGGCCAUCUGAUAGGAGGAGUGAGUGGGAACAUGCAGGCCACUGGAUAGGAGGAGUGAGUGGGAACAUGCGGCCACUGGAUAGGAGGAGUGAGUGGGAACAUGCAGGCCACUGGAUAGGAGGAGUGAGUGGGAACAUGCAGGCCACUGGAUAGGAGGAGUGAGUGGGAACAUGCAGGCCACUGGAUAGCAGGAGUGAGUGGGAACAUGCAGGCCACUGGAUAGGAGGAGUGAGUGGGAACAUGCAGGCCACUGGAUAGGAGGAGUGAGUGGGAACAUGCAGGCCACUGGAUAGGAGGAGUGAGUGGGAACAUGCAGGCCAUCUGAUAGGAGGAGUGAGUGGGAACAUGCAGGCCACUGGAUAGGAGGAGUGAGUGGGAACAUGCAGGCCACUGGAUAGGAGGAGUGAUGGGAACAUGCAGGCCACUGGAUAGGAGGAGUGAGUGGGAACAUGCAGGCCAUCUGAUAGGAGGAGUGAUGGGAACAUGCAGGCGACUGGAUAGGAGGAGUGAGUGGGAACAUGCAGGCCACUGGAUAGGAGGAGUGAGUGGGAACAUGCAGGCCACUGGAUAGGAGGAGUGAGUGGGAACAUGCAGGC
This is a long non-coding RNA of Oncorhynchus tshawytscha (Chinook salmon), 741 nucleotides long. The record is from Ensembl. NCBI's taxonomy places the organism in Eukaryota, Metazoa, Chordata, Actinopteri, Salmoniformes, Salmonidae.